RNAcentral lists this ribosomal RNA (869 nucleotides) under Mycoplasmoides gallisepticum. RNAcentral describes it as "bacterial SSU rRNA". It matches the Rfam family "Bacterial small subunit ribosomal RNA", at positions 569 to 1461 of the family's 1533-position model. The record is from RNAcentral. Lineage: Bacteria; Bacillati; Mycoplasmatota; Mycoplasmoidales; Mycoplasmoidaceae.
GCGCAGGCGGAUUAGAAAGUCUGGUGUUAAAAGCAAUUGCUUAACGAUUGUAUGCAUUGGAAACUUCUAGUCUAGAGUUUGGUAGAGAGUCCUGGAACUCCAUGUGGAGCGGUGAAAUGCGUAGAUAUAUGGAAGAACACCAGAGGCGAAGGCGAGGACUUGGGCCAAUACUGACGCUUAGGCUUGAAAGUGUGGGGAGCAAAUAGGAUUAGAUACCCUAGUAGUCCACACUGUAAACGAUGGAUGUUAAGUGUCGGAGCGAAUACUUCGGUGCUGCAGUUAACACAUUAAACAUCCUGCCUGAGUAGUACAUUCGCAAGAAUGAAACUCAAACGGAAUUGACGGGGACCCGCACAAGUGGUGGAGCAUGUUGCUUAAUUCGACGGUACACGAAAAACCUUACCUAGACUUGACAUCUUGGGCGAAGCUAUAGAAAUAUAGUGGAGGUCAACCCAAUGACAGGUGGUGCAUGGUUGUCGUCAGCUCGUGUCGUGAGAUGUUGGGUUAAGUCCCGCAACGAGCGCAACCCUUAUCGUUAGUUACUUUGUCURACGAGACUGCCAACGUAAGUUGGAGGAAGGUGGGGAUGACGUCAAAUCAUCAUGCCCCUUAUGUCUAGGGCUGCAAACGUGCUACAAUGGCCAAUACAAACAGUUGCAAAUCCGUAAGGUGGAGCUAAUCUGUAAAGUUGGUCUCAGUUCGGAUUGAGGGCUGCAAUUCGCCCUCAUGAAGUCGGAAUCACUAGUAAUCGCGAAUCAGCCAUGUCGCGGUGAAUACGUUCUCGGGUCUUGUACACACCGCCCGUCAAACUAUGAGAGCUGGUAAUAUCUAAAACCGUGUUGCUAACCGCAAGGAAGCGCAUGUCUAGG